This 496-nucleotide ribosomal RNA is filed under the name uncultured bacterium. RNAcentral describes it as "partial 16S ribosomal RNA". It matches the Rfam family "Bacterial small subunit ribosomal RNA", at positions 28 to 506 of the family's 1533-position model. The record is from RNAcentral.
GAUGAACGCUGGCGGCGUGCCUAAUACAUGCCAGUCGAGCGAACGGACGAGAAGCUUGCUUCUCUGAUGUUAGCGGCGGACGGGUGAGUAACACGUGGAUAACCUACCUAUAAGACUGGGAUAACUUCGGGAAACCGGAGCUAAUACUGGAUAAUAUUUUGAACCGCAUGGUUCAAAAGUGAAAGACGGUCUUGCUGUCACUUAUAGAUGGAUCCGCGCUGCAUUAGCUAGUUGGUAAGGUAACGGCUUACCAAGGCAACGAUGCAUAGCCGACCUGAGAGGGUGAUCGGCCACACUGGAACUGAGACACGGUCCAGACUCCUACGGGAGGCAGCAGUAGGGAAUCUUCCGCAAUGGGCGAAAGCCUGACGGAGCAACGCCGCGUGAGUGAUGAAGGUCUUCGGAUCGUAAAACUCUGUUAUUAGGGAAGAACAUAUGUGUAAGUAACUGUGCACAUCUUGACGGUACCUAAGCAGAAAGCCACGGCUAACUACGU